This 2136-nucleotide ribosomal RNA is filed under the name Listeria monocytogenes. RNAcentral's name for it is "partial 23S ribosomal RNA". It matches the Rfam family "Bacterial large subunit ribosomal RNA", at positions 408 to 2542 of the family's 2925-position model. Lineage: Bacteria; Bacillati; Bacillota; Bacilli; Caryophanales; Listeriaceae. The record is from RNAcentral.
CUGAGUACGGCGGAACACGUGAAAUUCCGUCGGAAUCCGGGAGGACCAUCUCCCAAGGCUAAAUACUCCCUAGUGACCGAUAGUGAACCAGUACCGUGAGGGAAAGGUGAAAAGCACCCCGGAAGGGGAGUGAAACAGUUCCUGAAACCGUGUGCCUACAAGUAGUUAGAGCCCGUUAAUGGGUGAUAGCGUGCCUUUUGUAGAAUGAACCGGCGAGUUACGAUUUGUUGCAAGGUUAAGCGGAAAAAGCGGAGCCGUAGCGAAAGCGAGUCUGAAUAGGGCGCAUAAGUAACAGGUCGUAGACCCGAAACCAGGUGAUCUACCCAUGUCCAGGAUGAAGGUAAGGUAAUACUUACUGGAGGUCCGAACCCACGCACGUUGAAAAGUGCGGGGAUGAGGUGUGGGUAGCGGAGAAAUUCCAAUCGAACUUGGAGAUAGCUGGUUCUCUCCGAAAUAGCUUUAGGGCUAGCCUCGAGGUAAAGAGUCAUGGAGGUAGAGCACUGUUUGGACUAGGGGCCCUUCUCGGGUUACCGAAUUCAGAUAAACUCCGAAUGCCAUGUACUUAUACUCGGGAGUCAGACUGCGAGUGAUAAGAUCCGUAGUCGAAAGGGAAACAGCCCAGACCACCAGUUAAGGUCCCCAAAUAUAUGUUAAGUGGAAAAGGAUGUGGGGUUGCUUAGACAACCAGGAUGUUGGCUUAGAAGCAGCCACCAUUGAAAGAGUGCGUAAUAGCUCACUGGUCGAGUGACCCCGCGCCGAAAAUGUACCGGGGCUAAACAUAUUACCGAAACUGUGGAUGAACCUCUUUAGAGGUUCGUGGUAGGAGAGCGUUCUAAGGGCGGUGAAGUCAGACCGGAAGGACUGGUGGAGCGCUUAGAAGUGAGAAUGCCGGUAUGAGUAGCGAAAGAAGGGUGAGAAUCCCUUCCACCGAAUAUCUAAGGUUUCCUGAGGAAGGCUCGUCCGCUCAGGGUUAGUCGGGACCUAAGCCGAGGCCGAUAGGCGUAGGCGAUGGACAACAGGUAGAGAUUCCUGUACCAGUGCUAAUUGUUUAACCGAUGGGGUGACACAGAAGGAUAGGGAAUCGCACGAAUGGAAAUGUGCGUCCAAGCAGUGAGUGUGAGAAGUAGGCAAAUCCGCUUCUCGCGAAGCAUGAGCUGUGAUGGGGAAGGAAAUUAAGUACGGAAGUUCCUGAUUUCACGCUGUCAAGAAAAGCCUCUAGGAAGAGUAGUACUGCCCGUACCGCAAACCGACACAGGUAGAUGAGGAGAGAAUCCUAAGGUGAGCGAGAGAACUCUCGUUAAGGAACUCGGCAAAAUGACCCCGUAACUUCGGGAGAAGGGGUGCUCUAUUAGGGUGCAAGCCCGAGAGAGCCGCAGUGAAUAGGCCCAGGCGACUGUUUAGCAAAAACACAGGUCUCUGCAAAACCGUAAGGUGACGUAUAGGGGCUGACGCCUGCCCGGUGCUGGAAGGUUAAGAGGAGUGCUUAGCUUCGGCGAAGGUACGAAUUGAAGCCCCAGUAAACGGCGGCCGUAACUAUAACGGUCCUAAGGUAGCGAAAUUCCUUGUCGGGUAAGUUCCGACCCGCACGAAAGGCGCAACGAUCUGGGCACUGUCUCAACGAGAGACUCGGUGAAAUUAUAGUACCUGUGAAGAUGCAGGUUACCCGCGACAGGACGGAAAGACCCCGUGGAGCUUUACUGCAACCUGAUAUGGAAUGUUUGUACCGCUUGUACAGGAUAGGUAGGAGCCGAAGAGACGUGUGCGCUAGCAUACGAGGAGGCAAUGGUGGGAUACUACCCUGGCUGUAUGACCAUUCUAACCCGCCACGCUUAGCGCGUGGGGAGACAGUGUCAGGUGGGCAGUUUGACUGGGGCGGUCGCCUCCUAAAGAGUAACGGAGGCGCCCAAAGGUUCCCUCAGAAUGGAUGGAAAUCAUUCGCAGAGUGUAAAGGCACAAGGGAGCUUGACUGCGAGACUGACAAGUCGAGCAGGGACGAAAGUCGGGCUUAGUGAUCCGGUGGUUCCGCAUGGAAGGGCCAUCGCUCAACGGAUAAAAGCUACCCCGGGGAUAACAGGCUUAUCUCCCCCAAGAGUCCACAUCGACGGGGAGGUUUGGCACCUCGAUGUCGGCUCGUCG